Molecule: non-coding RNA, 7440 nt
Organism: Pelobates cultripes (western spadefoot toad)
Lineage: Eukaryota; Metazoa; Chordata; Amphibia; Anura; Pelobatidae
Source: the annotation of a GenBank genome assembly
CUGAGACCGGGCUGCCCGGGAGGAGAGAGCCACGAGGGUGGGGCCAGACCAGGAAAUCAGGCCCCCAACCACAGCCAGCAUAAGGUAAGAUACUGUGGUGGCUUUAUUAUUUGAUGUUUGCAUUGUGUGUAGUGUGUAUCUCUGUGUGUAUAUCUGUAUGGAGAUCUGUGUGCGUAUCUGUGUGUAUAUGUGUAUGUAGUGUGUGUAUCUGUGAGUGUAUGUAGUGUGUGCAUCUAUGUUUUGUGUGUAUCAGUAUGUGUGUAGUGUGUGUAUCUGUGUGUAGUGUGUGUAUCUGUAUGCAUCUGUAUGUCUGUGUAACUGCAUGUGUGGCAGUGUAUCUGUAUGUAGAUCUCUGUGUGUGUAGUGUGUGUAUCUGUGUGUAGCAUGCGUAUCUGUGUGUAGUGUGUGUAUCUGUAUAUGUAUAGUGUGUAUCUGUAUGUGUGCAAAUCUCUGUGUGUGUAGUGUGUAUUUGUGAGUGUCAUGUGUGUGUGUAUCUGUGUGUCUGUAACUGAAUGUGUGGCAGUGGGUGUAUCUGCAUGUAUCCGUGUGUGUAUUUGCAUAUAUCAGUGUUUGAUAUACAUACUGACACACAUGCAGAUGCACAGUGUUAUGUUUCCUAUGGAGUGGAACUCAACUGCAGAAAUAUAGUUAGGAGAACCCUCAGGGUUUUUAGAAUAGUAAUUAGAAUUUAGAUGGAACAAUUCCUCAUUAAGGAGUUUUACGAGAAGGAGGAUUGCAGAGUUCUUGUAAUUUAAAGGAAUACAAUACGAAGAUAAUUUGAAGAUAACAGUUCAUUAAUUUUUACUGAACACAAUAUGAAGAUAGUUUGAAGAUAACAGUUCAUGUAACCUUAAUGAAUACAGUAUGAAGGUAGAUUGAUGAGAAGAGUUCAUGUAGCUUAAGGAAUACAAUAUGAAGAUAGAUUGGUGAGAUGAGUUCUGUAACCUUAAGGAACACUACAUGUAGAUAGUUUGAUGAGAAGAGUUCCUGUAGCUUUAAUGAAACAAUAUGAAGAUAUAUUGAUGAGAAGAGUUCCUGUAGCUUUAAGGAAUACAAUAGGUAGAUGGUUUGAAGAGAAGAUCUCAUGUAGCUUUAAGGAACACGACAUGCAGAUAGUUUGAUGAGAAGAGUUCCUGAAGCUUUAAGGAAUACAAUACGUAGAGUGUUUGAUGAAAAGAGUUCCUGUAGCUUUAAGGAAUACAAUAUGUAGAGAGUUUGAUGAGAGAGUUCCUGAAGCUUUAAGGAAUACAAUACGUAGAGUGUUUGAUGAAAAGAGUUCCUGUAGCUUUAGGGAAUACAAUAUGUAGAGAGUUUGAUGAGAGAGUUCCCGUAGCUUUAAGGAAUACAAUAUGUAGAGAGUUUGAUGAGAGAGUUCCUGUAGCUUUAGGGAAUACAAUAUGUAGAGAGUUUGUCCACUAAUUGAACUAAGGAAGCACAGAAAAUAAUUAAGCAGUAAGUAUUGAAGUGCCAGUAGGAGGAUUAAUCCAAAUCUAUAACUUGCAGUUACUUGGAAGGUUUUACAAAGCAGAAAGUAUUCCAAAGGUAAUCCAAGGUCAAUAGAAGGAGGAUGGAGAUCCACAGUAUGAACAGUCCAGUUUUGGUACACGUUCAGAAGUUUAGCGAGAGAUUGUUUAUAGCCGGUCAGAAGUUCAGGAAGCUUCAAAAUAGCGUCAGAGAAGGGGGCGUGUCAUUGGUCCGUGAACCCGGAAGUGUCGGAUUAUCGGAGAAGCCGAUAGUUAAGUUCUGACACACAGAUACACAUGCAGAUAUACAGACACACAGAUACAAACAUUGCCACACAUGCAGAUAUGUAGACAAACAGAUACAAUCACUGACACACAUGCAGAUACACAGACACAGUGUAUAGGUAAUUGUAUUGGCUGCAGUGCACAUACAGACACACGCUACAUCCCCAGCACACACACAGAUACACACUACAUCCCCAACACACACUUAGACACACACUUCACCCACAGCACACACACUUAGACACACACAUAGAGACAUUACCAUGGCAGAAGCAAUAUGUUUUUUUUCUGGUGGUGGGAGGUAGAGGUGCAGCAUUUCAUCCCUGGACCCAGGCAGCACAAUGUCUUAGCCCUACAAUUGUCUAAUUCAAGAGCUUUAGCUUUGAAUAAAACAGUUGAAUAUCUCCAAAGAUUUCAAACAGUCAAAUAAAGACACUUUAAUUUUACAUUUUUAAGUGGUAGUAUGGCCAGGUACAGCGCUGUUCUGAGAAAUGUUAAGUGAUUUACUAAUAAUUUAUGCAACUCAAGUGUAAUUUAGAACAAGAAAAAUCCAUCUUAUAUACACAGAGCGAUUUCUAAACACAUUUAUUGUAGUUUACCACUUAAGGACAACAUGACUUUAAAUUUAUACAGUGCUCCACUAAUUGGUGUAUAUUGUAUACCAUAUAUUUUAACAUUGUAAACUGAUUGUGGAAAUCAGAUUAUUCCAGUUUAUGUGUUUGAGCUGCUUCUUUGUCUAGGCACUAUAGAGUAUCACUCACUAUCUCUGCAAAGAGACUGUUUUGGUUUUUUUAAUGUCUGGAGGCAGUCUUAGUCCUGCAAGGCCGGGGCUGAUCCUAUAUUUGGCAUCCCCCCCCAGCUUAAAAAUGUAAAAAAAAAAUCCACAAAUUCUUUUACAUGUAUUUAGCACUGAGUAGUGUUUGUAUUUUUUUUCUGUAUUAAACACUGAGCAGUGUUUGUGUGUUUGAAUGUAAGCAUGUUUUUUUGUUGUUGUUUUGUUUAUAUCUUUUUAUUGUUUCUCACUCAAUAUGCCAACAAAAUAAAUGUUACAGUACAAGUGUAUCAAUUACAGAGAAAUGUAAAUGAAAUGUUUUCGGUACAGGUAACAUUGUACAUUAACCAUGGUACAAUAAACAGUUUCUGUAACAUCAUGAUGAGGAGUGAGUUACUUUAAAAAUAAAAAAUAGCAUUGAAACUUAGUGGGGCUUGGUACAUUAUAGAGUAAGCAUGUUUUUGUAUGGAGUAUGUGUGAGUAAAUGUAUGGGUGUGUUUGCACGUAUUGGCAUUUGAAUGCAGGCGUGCAUUUUUCUGUAGUGUGUUUUUUUUAUAUGGUGGUAUGUUUUUAUGUAGUGUUGACAUUUGGAUGCAGGGUUGUAUUUGUGUGUAGUGUAGGCGAAAUGCUGAGAUGUAUGCACAUACACACUCAUAUAGACACACACUGGCACACAGACACAUAGGUACACACAUGCUGUUACAUAGAAACACAGUCAUACACAGAUGCAGACAAACACUGACACACAUACAGAUACACACACAGAUACAAACACACAUAUAGAUACAAACACACACACACACAUAGAGACACACAGGCACAGACACACAUACAAAUAGAGACACACACAUACAGACACACUGAUACAAACAUAGACACACAAACUGAUACACAGACACUCACUGACACAUACAGAUACACAUAUACCAACACACAUACAGAUACACAGACACACAUGUAUAAGUGUGUGUUUGUAUUGUGUAUGUAGUGUGUUUGUAUAGUGAAUGCAGUGUGUUUGUGUACUGGAUGCAGUGUGUGUGCCUGUAUAGCGGAUAAUGGUGUGAGGGAGGGGGUGAUGGUGAGAGGGAGGGGGUAAUAUUGUGAGGGAGGGGGUGAUGGUGUGAGGGAGGGGUAAUAUUGUGAGGGAGGGGGUGAUUGUGUGAGGGAGGGAGGGUGAUGGUGGAGUGAGGGGGUGAUGGUGAGAGGGAGGAGGUGAUGGUGAGAGGGAGGGAGGGGAUGGUGUGAGGGGGGGAGGUGAUGUGUGUGAGGGAGGGGGGUGAUGGUGUGAAGGAGGUGGUGAUGGUGUGAAGGAGGGGGUUAUGUGUGAGGGGGGGUGAUGGUGUGAGGAAGGGAGGAUGAUGGAGGGCGGGGGGGACUAAAUACCUUAUUUAUUCCCUGGUGGUCCAGUGUGCGCUCCCUGGUGGUCCGGUGGUGAUAUCAGGUGCCGGUCCACAGAGUUGCAGACCAUGAAUCGUGCGAGACACAGUCAGAGAGUUGCCGUGGUAACCUGCGACAACGCUCUGAUUGAUCAGAUCUCGCGACACACAAGGUCUGCAGCUCUGCACACUGCGGAGCUGCAGACCAUUGUCUGCGAUAGGUGCAGGAGGGGCAUCUCACCCAGCGGCAUAUCGAGCAAGCCGCCAGGCCCCCUCCUGGUGUCGGGUCCUCGGUCAGUGACCCAUGACUCGACACAGUCUGCCCCAGGCACCCCCCUAGUGAGUGGCACCUGGGGUGGACCACCCCCUCCGCCCCCCCCUUAGUACGCCACUGCUGCAAGGUAAUUAUUGCAAUUUCUCUAAAACUGCAAUGUUUUACAUUGAAAGACAAAGGGGGACAGGGACACUCACCCAGACCACUUCAAUGAGAUGAAGUGGUCUGGGUGACUAUAGUGUCCCUUUAAAUCCAGCCCUAGGUAAGCUGCAUACAGAGCUCAGAUUGAAAUUGGCAUGCAACACUUUUAAUGGGGAUUUCUAUGACCAUAAACAGCACUGUAGUAUGAGCAGGGUUAAAUCCAAUAGAUAAUUGGGGCACCCUUUUGUCAGCUGAGAUCCAUUUUUAGUGGGCUCAGACUGACAGGUGAGCUGCAUGCAGAGCUCAAAGUUUCAAUGGGGAUUUAAAGGGACACUAUAAGCACCCAGACUGCUUCAGCUGAUGGAAGUGGUCUGGGUGCAGUGUCCCAGUCCCCUUAACCCUGCAAUUGGAAUUAUUGCAGUUAUUGAUCAACUGCAUUACCUUGCAGGGUUAACUCCACCUCUAGUGGCUGUCUACCAGACAGCCACUAGAGGCACUUCCGGGUCCUUAGCGGACUUUUAGUCUGCUAAAUAACAGACGUCCUCACGCUUUGCUUAAAAAAAACAGCAUUACCCAAAGCCUCUCAGGAAAGCAUUAUAUGUUGGCUGACGUCUGCAGAGGAGGAGCGGAGGCGCUGGAAUCAGGUAAGUGAUAUGUUUUAACCCCUUCAGUGCCAUCAGUUUUCCUAGAACUAGUUUCCCUUUAAAUCACUCUAAACAGCAUUUCAGUGUGAGCAGGGUUAAAAUGUAAUUCUGUUUCACAAUCAUAGAGGUACCCUACCCUCCUUCCAUCGCCCCCAUCUGUCCCUUCACCAGUCUCCAAAAUUCCCUGCCCCUUUUAUUUCCCCCUCCUUAGUCAGCCUUAAACCCUGAUUCCCAUUACUCCGCUAUCCCCUUCCAUUCAUUCCUUUUUCUCAGUUAUUUAACAAAUCCCUAACCAGUGCCCCUUCAUUGUUAUCUCCACCAGUGAACCAGAACUCUUGUACCUUGUUAUCCUUUGACUUUGGCUUCCACCACUGUAAUAACAUGGUCACAAGGGGAACAAUUGUGAUUAGAUCCCUGGCCUCUUCUCUCUACCACCUUCCUUGAAUCUGACAAACAAUAGGAGGAAUAGAAGCUGAUUUUGGGGUGUUAUGUUUAAUAUGCUGGGUUAUUCACUAAAUUGAGACUUUAAGGACCUAAAAUGGCCAAACUGGACAAAUUGCCCUUUUAUUCCCACUUUAGUAAAUAAUCCUUUCGGCACGGGUUGAUGGGGCCCCCAAAUAUUUCUAUACAUGGAUCAAUAAACACCAUUGCAUUAGCCACCAAGACAGAAUUCUACCACCUAGCUAGUUGCAGGAAUACUGAAGGACAAUGUGUUUGGACCUUGUGCUGCCAGGUCCACUAUUUUUCUUGAGCCCUAUCUGAUGAGCAGGGCAUAAAUAAUGCUGCCCUGCACCUUCUAUGGAUGUACUAGCUGCAGAAAGGUAAUCAGUAAACUAAUCAGGGCAGUUCCAUGGGGACCCCACCCUACUUGAUUAAUUACCUGACUUCCUCCUGCAGCAUAUGAAUUCUCCAUACCCCAGAUCAGCAUGCAUUAGUUAGAUCUCUAUAAGAAAAAGCAUCACAUGCUGUCAAAUUUUAAUCACAGCCUCAUUUUUUAUGAGAACAAUGUUCUUUAAUUUUUCUGUACUAGAAGGUAAACUGAUAAUUUGUAGCUACCAUCACCCCUAAGCAAAGGGGUGGGGGGACCUUUUACUAAAAACCCACGUUUCAUGUGAAACGGACAAUGGCUGCAUGCCUAUAUCUCAAAGCUCCCCCCAUCCUCUAACUGAGGAGGAAAGUGGUGUGGGGGAGAACUCUGCUAGCAGGAUCACGUGACGUGACAUUCCCCUGCCAGGGCUUCAGUCUAUUAUAUCCAUGUCUGUCUGACUUCUCGUCCAAUCAGGUGGCAGUAUGACGUAGCUGAUGGGCUGGGUGGGGUAUAUAAGGCAUGGACCGGCUGCUUUCCCAUUGUUCAUUUGUGCGGCAGGAGAUUUUGUAGUGUUGGUGUGAGUAGCCACUGCCAGGUAAGCUGGGGGCUCUGUGUUAUUACUGCUGUCAUAGAGGGAGCUUUUCAUUCAUUUUGGGAUUGGCUGGUUAAUUUUAAGCUUAUUAUACUAUGGUUUUAGCAGGUAUAUGGGAUUUUAGUAUAUAUCAUUUGCCAUAGAUGGUUCAUUAGUCCUUGUCUGUAAUGGUAUGUGAAUGGAGCUAUCUUCACACAGGGUAAAGGAUGCAUUGAAACAGUGUAUCCAUCAUUAAGAUAACGUUCCAAACGACAUUCUAUCAGAUGCAGGUUUUUUUUCUUUUACCUUUUGAGUGCGAGGUGUGUGCUAAUGCUUUAUUACCCAUACUUGGUAUUCAAUGUGUUAAAACAAUCAUGAUGUGAGGUUUUUUUUAUAUUUAACUGUUUAAUGGUGUGUGGCAUUACACCGAUUCCUGUAUGCAUUGUCUGUCUGGCCAUGCUGACUGACCUCCUUCUUGCUCUGUUACAGAUUAAGUCUAAAAAUGGCAGAUAAGCCAGAUCUGGGGGAAAUCGACAAGUUUGACAAAUCCAAGCUGAGGAAAACUGAAACAAAAGAGAAAAACACACUGCCUACGAAAGAGAGUGAGGGUCUUUUUGUUUAACUUGGUGUCUCCCAACUAACCAUUAUAGGGCACUCCCUGCCUAUUUCCAUCACCCUUUAAGGGGGCGGAUUCCAUAAUGCAUGUGAAAAUAUCUGAUGCCUCACCACUAUCCUAAUUAAAACUCUUUCAUAAUAUGUUGCAUGGACAAUCGAACACUAGAACUGCUAAUAUCAGGAAUGUAUUGAUGUCUAGUUUUGACUUAAGACUUUAUUUUUAACUCUGCUAUUUUUUGAUCUCUCUAGCAAUUGAACAAGAGAAGAAAAAUUAAUUUUUGAAUUUUCUACUGAAUCCACCACACCCCAGCAAUGGCUUGAAGGGAAAAUGGUCUGACCUUUAUUGGCGAUCUAAGUGCACUGUGAAUGAAAAGGAGGACCUGUCAAGUGUUGGACCUUUUUGGAAUGCCAAAAACUAAAGGGAUUUUGUGUUAUCUUGUCUUCCCUAUUGUCUGAUUGUUGAAUGGAAUAAAAUAAAUUUUGUGCAAUAA